AGAGUUUGAUCAUGGCUCAGAUUGAACGCUGGCGGCAGGCCUAACACAUGCAAGUCGAGCGGAUGAGAAGAGCUUGCUCUUCGAUUCAGCGGCGGACGGGUGAGUAAUACCUAGGAAUCUGCCUGGUAGUGGGGGACAACGUUUCGAAAGGAACGCUAAUACCGCAUACGUCCUACGGGAGAAAGCAGGGGACCUUCGGGCCUUGCGCUAUCAGAUGAGCCUAGGUCGGAUUAGCUAGUUGGUGAGGUAAUGGCUCACCAAGGCUACGAUCCGUAACUGGUCUGAGAGGAUGAUCAGUCACACUGGAACUGAGACACGGUCCAGACUCCUACGGGAGGCAGCAGUGGGGAAUAUUGGACAAUGGGCGAAAGCCUGAUCCAGCCAUGCCGCGUGUGUGAAGAAGGUCUUCGGAUUGUAAAGCACUUUAAGUUGGGAGGAAGGGCAGUAAGCGAAUACCUUGCUGUUUUGACGUUACCGACAGAAUAAGCACCGGCUAACUCUGUGCCAGCAGCCGCGGUAAUACAGAGGGUGCAAGCGUUAAUCGGAAUUACUGGGCGUAAAGCGCGCGUAGGUGGUUCGUUAAGUUGGAUGUGA
This 594-nucleotide ribosomal RNA is filed under the name uncultured Gammaproteobacteria bacterium. RNAcentral's name for it is "bacterial SSU rRNA". It matches the Rfam family "Bacterial small subunit ribosomal RNA", at positions 8 to 597 of the family's 1533-position model. Lineage: Bacteria; Pseudomonadati; Pseudomonadota; Gammaproteobacteria. The record is from RNAcentral.